ACAAUGCGGAACUUUUAGUUUUGCAAUUGGAUUGAGAACAAUGUACAAAUGUUAUCGAUAAACAAUUGGAGGGCAAGUCUGGUGCCAGCAGCCGCGGUAAUUCCAGCUCCAAUAGCGUAUAUUAACGUUGUUGCAGUUAAAAAGCUCGUAGUUGAAAUGUGGGAUGAAGUAUAUAAUGAAUUUCUAAUUCAAUUGUAUAUUGAUUCCCCUCUCCAAUUUAUUAUUAUGGGUAUUAAUUUAUUUGUAAUAACAACUGCUCAUUUACUGUGAGAAAAUUAGAGUGUUCAAAGCAGGCAUUUGCUUGAAUAGAUUAGCAUGGAAUAAUACUAAAAGGCUUUUAUGGUCGAUUUAAUUGGUUUGUUCAUAAAAGCAAGAUUAAAAGGAACAGUUGGGGGUAUUCAUAUUCAAUAGUUAGAGGUGAAAUUCUCGGAUUUAUGGAA
Molecule: ribosomal RNA, 440 nt
Filed under: Blastocystis sp.
Lineage: Eukaryota; Bigyra; Opalinata; Blastocystidae
Description: SSU rRNA
Rfam family: Eukaryotic small subunit ribosomal RNA
Source: RNAcentral